This 647-nucleotide ribosomal RNA is filed under the name uncultured Actinomycetes bacterium. Its description in RNAcentral is "SSU rRNA". It matches the Rfam family "Bacterial small subunit ribosomal RNA", at positions 260 to 915 of the family's 1533-position model. Lineage: Bacteria; Bacillati; Actinomycetota; Actinomycetes. The record is from RNAcentral.
AUGGCCUACCAAGGCUUCGACGGGUAGCCGGCCUGAGAGGGCGUCCGGCCACACUGGGAUGAGACACGGCCCAGACUCCUACGGGAGGCAGCAGUGGGGAAUAUUGCGCAAUGGGCGGAAGCCUGACGCAGCGACGCCGCGUGGGGGAUGACGGCCUUCGGGUUGUAAACCUCUUUCGGCCUCGACGAAGCCUUCGGGUGACGGUAGGGGUGGAAGAAGCACCGGCCAACUACGUGCCAGCAGCCGCGGUAAUACGUAGGGUGCGAGCGUUGUCCGGAAUUAUUGGGCGUAAAGAGCUCGUAGGCGGUGUGUCACGUCGUUCGUGAAAACCUGCAGCUUAACUGUGGGCGUGCGGUCGAUACGGGCAUCACUGGAGUUCGGCAGGGGAGACUGGAAUUCCUGGUGUAGCGGUGAAAUGCGCAGAUAUCAGGAGGAACACCGGUGGCGAAGGCGGGUCUCUGGGCCGAUACUGACGCUGAGGAGCGAAAGCGUGGGGAGCAAACAGGAUUAGAUACCCUGGUAGUCCACGCCGUAAACGGUGGGCACUAGGUGUGGGGACCAUUCCACGGUUUCUGUGCCGCAGCUAACGCAUUAAGUGCCCCGCCUGGGGAGUACGGCCGCAAGGCUAAAACUCAAAGGAAUUGACG